This 90-nucleotide small nucleolar RNA is filed under the name Triticum dicoccoides. RNAcentral describes it as "snoRNA SNORD14". Lineage: Eukaryota; Viridiplantae; Streptophyta; Magnoliopsida; Poales; Poaceae. The record is from RNAcentral.
UGCAAAUGAUGUUGAAAGCAAGGUUUGUUUCUCAAAACAUUUGCAGUUGCCGCCUAAGAGCUUGUGCUGUUUGAUCCUUCCUUGGAUGCA